Molecule: ribosomal RNA, 128 nt
Filed under: uncultured eukaryote
Lineage: Eukaryota
Description: partial small subunit ribosomal RNA
Rfam family: Eukaryotic small subunit ribosomal RNA
Source: RNAcentral
CCCUGCCAUUUGUACACACCGCCCGUCGCUACUACCGAUUGAAUGGCUUAGUGAGCUCUAGGGACUGUUGCCUCUGAUAGGGUUACCUGUCAGUGGUCGACGGGAACUAGAUCAAACUUGAUCAUUUA